RNAcentral lists this long non-coding RNA (525 nucleotides) under Apteryx rowi (Okarito brown kiwi). Its description in RNAcentral is "lncRNA (ENSARWG00000007436.1)". Lineage: Eukaryota; Metazoa; Chordata; Aves; Apterygiformes; Apterygidae. The record is from RNAcentral.
AUGCUGUAUGACUUUUCAGAGCUUCCUGUAUGGUCACACUGGAAUUGGUAUUGUGACUGGGAUUUGAAAUGUAGGCUGCAUAGAUCAAGAAUGUGGUCUGGCAAGAGAAAGAGCACCAUGCUUUGCUUGCCCAAAGACAUGCUGUGUGCUGUGCAGAAGGGGACUGCGGGUAGAGGAACCGAGAUGAGAGGCAUGAUGUUGUCAGGCCAGCUAUUAGAGAAGUUGGAUGUCACCGUGCUCCUCUGCCAGUCCAGCAUCAAACUGUCCCCUGAGGGCUCUGCUGGCCCACACACAUCUCUCUGCCUCCUCAGCGAAUCUGUCCUGGUCAAGUGAAAUAUAAACAUUAAUGGUCAUUGGGGAGGGGGGAAGGUUCUCUUCUGGGAUGACUUGGGAUGUUCCCUUCCUCAUGAAAAAUCACUUUGGAAAUAUCUGUCUGAGCCUUUUGGGGGCUCUUCCUCUUCCUCCCCCCUCCUCCCCGUACUGCAGAGGGGGGGUCACUCCCCACGGUGCGCUCGCCAUGCCCCU